CGGGGACAUCGGGUCCGGGUCAGCCCACGGAGAAAAAACCCACUCGUGGCCAGCUCCCGUCCUUCGGACAGCGUGCCGAACAGCAAGUGGAUGGGAAAGGAGCCCUCUACAACACAAACCUCAUUGACUAAUGGGCCGGUUUUGGGUUUCGCCUUCGAAAGGUUCGGAAAUGGGCAGCGUUGUGUUACUGCCCUGCCGGCUCCCAGCCUCCGAGGCAGCACGGGGCUUAUUAGCACCGCCGAGACACGGCUCCGAGCAACAAAUAAAUAAAUAAAAGCGCUCUUGCUUUUAUUUCGUCGCGAUGCUUGCGUCCCCAGACCCCUACACUUCGAGACAAAAACACAACAAAAAAAUGAGAAAGCAACAAAAUCAAAUUUCUUUUGGGAAGAGGGUUAUUUCUAAGGGGAGAGGGGAUGCGUGUUCCGCCUGUUUUCUCCAUUGUUUUGCUGUUUGUUUUUUUCCGGCGGAAUCGAUGAAAACCCGCCGAGUGCCUUUGCACGAGCCCCGUCUUCCCCCCCAGUUCCUCGCCGCAUCGAAAAAUCACGGAAAAGAGGAAAAUUUCCAGCGCAAAUGCCACGGAUCCGCGCCCCGGCGGCGGCGGAGGCAAAGCCGGCGUGGAGAGGCUCCGGAGGCUGCAAAGCCCGGGCUGUGCCCAGCCUGCGGGCUGCUGCCCCUCGCCUCCCGAGAAAUAAAGGGGCUGGCGGCUGCUCCGAGCCGCCUUGUUGUUGUUUGGUUGUUUGCAUCCAGUUCUGUUUUAUUUCUUAUUUUUUUCAUUAUUAUUGUUUCUAUUUUUUUUGCGGCUCGAAACCAUUUCUGCGUGAUUUUGAACGGGGGUGAAUGGCACGGCGUGCUUCGCAAAUCCGUGCCAUUUUACCUCUGCCUGGGGUUUAAAGCGAAAGGUUUCAAUUUUUAGGAAAAAAAAAAA
Oxyura jamaicensis (ruddy duck) is the source of this 925-nucleotide long non-coding RNA. RefSeq lists it as uncharacterized. NCBI's taxonomy places the organism in Eukaryota, Metazoa, Chordata, Aves, Anseriformes, Anatidae. The transcript has 2 exons. The record is from RefSeq and is a predicted model, not a curated record.